GUCUCGGUAGGUUAGGGCACAACCGUUGCCCAUUGCUCGAGACGCCCAAGUGCGGGUUCGAAUCCCGCUCGAGGCC
RNAcentral lists this transfer RNA (76 nucleotides) under Haemonchus placei. It matches the Rfam family "tRNA". From Rfam's summary of the family: Transfer RNA (tRNA) molecules are approximately 80 nucleotides in length. Their secondary structure includes four short double-helical elements and three loops (D, anti-codon, and T loops). Further hydrogen bonds mediate the characteristic L-shaped molecular structure. tRNAs have two regions of fundamental functional importance: the anti-codon, which is responsible for specific mRNA codon recognition, and the 3' end, to which the tRNAs corresponding amino acid is attached (by aminoacyl-tRNA synthetases). tRNAs cope with the degeneracy of the genetic code in two manners: having more than one tRNA (with a specific anti-codon) for a particular amino acid; and 'wobble' base-pairing, i.e. permitting non-standard base-pairing at the 3rd anti-codon position. Lineage: Eukaryota; Metazoa; Nematoda; Chromadorea; Rhabditida; Trichostrongylidae. The record is from Rfam by way of RNAcentral.